AGGCACGAUUGCAGAGUUUUUGUAAUGAAAUUCAUGGAAUUGUGGUCAAUGGGGGGGUUCUCCAAAUCAAUCGAUGUGGGAAAGUUGAAACAUUACAGGUUGAAGAUUAUGGGGAGUAUGUUGUUCUCAGCACAAAAUGCACACCGAGAUCGUGUCCGGAGAUAUUAAAGGGGAUUGUAAUUUGUGAUAAGACUGUAUAAAGUUAGCACAUUUGUAUGUAAUUUAUGGUGGACAAAUGUAGUUCUUUAAAUUUUGUUUUUGGAUUGUAAUUCUCUUUAGGGGGGCAAACCAAGACACUAAUGUUUGUUCACAUUAGCCCUGAACCGGAUGUUGAUGGAGAAACAAUUAGCACAGUUAAAUUUGCAGAGCGAUUUGCCACAGUAGAACUUGGUGCUGCUCGUGUAAACAAGGAUAGUGCAGAUGUGAAAGAGUUGAAAGAACAGAUUAGUACUCUGAAGGCAGCUCUGGCAGGAAAGAGGAAAACCAGAGGACAUGCCAUAUGCGUAUUGGUUUGUGGUAGACUCACUUUGUGGUUCAAAAAAUGGGAUCAGUUGGGAGGUCAAUUGAUGUUGCAAGUUUUAAGAAUUAUGUAGAAUUAUGCUAGGCAAUUGAAUGCAUGUUUGGAGUUGUAGGUGUGCUCAACGACGAGAAAGGCUCAGGUUGGAAAAUGGUGUAUGUGGAUUAUGAGAAUGAUGUACUUCUUGUUGGGGAUGAUCCCUGGAAAUGGUAGAAUGUUUCAAUUUUGUGAAGCUGAAGUUCAUUUGUGGAAGAUAUCUUAUUUUUAAAGAGGCUUGGUGAUAUUCAACUUUAAA
Long non-coding RNA from Vitis riparia (riverbank grape), 812 nucleotides. RefSeq lists it as uncharacterized. Lineage: Eukaryota; Viridiplantae; Streptophyta; Magnoliopsida; Vitales; Vitaceae. The record is from RefSeq and is a predicted model, not a curated record. The transcript is spliced from 5 exons.